CAAACUCGAACAGAACUUUCAACCACCUCGAAUGGCGGAAGGGUAUCUGAUCAGAGUGAGAGGUCACUGACCUCUUUUACCCUGCACACCCUGUUCCACCCGCGCAUGUUAACAUCUCAUCUCUUCUACUGCGCCAAUCGCCUCCAAAAGCCAAAAGCAUUGUAUCUCAAUUGGACGUCACGACCCUUGGACCUCCUCUAGGGCCAACCGCACACCUCAUCAAUAAUUAAAUCAUUUCAUUUCAAAUUCUUCCAAUUUUCAAUGUCUUCAGUUCGUAAAUUGAUGGCUAGUAUUUCAAACUCGUUGCCGCUGAAGCAUGGAAUCUCUCUCUGGUGUCCUCAACAUGCUUCUCUGAAUCGGACCCGCCUUCCUUCUUCAUUCGGAUCAUCAGCCUCAGCCAGACGUUACGGCGUCGUUUCGUGUGCUUUCGCUAACGAAAAUCGAGAGUUUGUUAUCGUCGGCGGUGGAAAUGCCGCUGGGUAUGCAGCACGGACUUUUGUUGAACACGGUAUGGCUGAUGGAAAGCUCUGCAUUGUAUCUAAAGAGGCAUUUGCGCCAUACGAGCGUCCUGCUUUGACAAAAGGCUAUCUGUUCCCUCUGGACAAAAAGCCAGCACGAUUACCUGGUUUUCAUACUUGUGUUGGAUCGGGUGGAGAGAGACAGACCCCUGAUUGGUAUAAAGAGAAAGGGAUAGAGAUGUUAUAUGAAGAUCCAGUAACAGGUAUUGAUAUUGAAAAACAAACCCUGAUGACAAAUUCAGGCAAACUCCUCAAGUAUGGAUCCCUUAUAAUUGCUACAGGUUGUACGGCAUCAAGACUUCCAGAUAAAAUAGGAGGAAACUUACCUGGUGUUCAUUACAUCCGGGAUGUUGCAGAUGCUGAUUCAUUGAUAUCAUCAUUGGAGAAGGCACGGAAAGUUGUUAUUGUUGGUGGUGGUUACAUUGGUAUGGAGGUUGCUGCAGCGGCUGCAGGUUGGAAACUUGAUACCACGAUUAUAUUUCCAGAGGAUCAUCUUUUGCAAAGAUUGUUUACUCCUUCACUUGCACGGAGAUAUGAAGAGUUUUAUCAGGAGAAUGGUGUCAAAUUUGUGAAGGGAGCCUCUAUCAAAAACAUAGAAGCUGGUUCUGAUGGACAUGUAACUGCUGUAAAACUUGAAAAUGGAUCCACCAUAGAAGCAGACACGAUUAUUAUUGGUAUUGGAGCAAAACCUGCUGUUAGUCCAUUUGAAAGGGUGGGCAUAAAUACCACUGUGGGCGGAAUACAGGUUGAUGGUCAGUUCCGAACAAGUGUACCUGGAAUCUUUGCAAUUGGAGAUGUGGCUGCAUUCCCAUUAAAGAUGUAUAACCGUAUCGCACGAGUUGAACAUGUUGAUCAUGCUCGUCGCUCAGCACAGCAUUGUAUAAAUGCAUUAUUGACUGCAAAAACACAUCUAUACGAUUAUCUCCCAUAUUUUUACUCGAGGGUGUUUGAGUAUGAAGGGAGCCCAAGGAAAAUAUGGUGGCAAUUUUUUGGGGACAAUGCAGUUGGAGAGACAGUUGAAAUAGGGAAUUUUGACCCGAAGAUUGCUACUUUCUGGAUAGAUUCUGGUAAACUGAAAGGGGUUCUCCUUGAAAGUGGCAGUCCUGAGGAAUUUCAACUCCUUCCGAAGCUCGCAAGGAGCCAACCUCACGUUGAUAUGACCAAGCUUCAGAAGGCAUCUUCGGUUGAGGAGGCACUAGAAUUGGCUCAUGCAUCCGUGCAAGCUGGAGCUGCAGUUUAGCUCAGAAUUCCCCACGACCCUAACUUUCCUCUUUUUAAUAAUAUUUUCGUCCAGGAUUUGCCCCCCUCCCUGCCCUUUUUUGGUCAAAUAAUUGCAGUGGUGACGCAUAUCAUGAAAUGGUGCACUCAGUAAAGGAACACGUGGAUGAUGGAUCAACAGUUGUGGCUGCCUUCAUGGAAAUUUCUUCAUUCUAGAAACCUCCUUUUCGAGGUAGACCGUAGACCUAGCCAUUUUGCGUCGCCGUGGGAAAGUAGAGUAUGAGCAUAGAAAUUCUAGUCUAUGAAAAAUUUUACUACACUUGUCCUUUUCACCUGGAAAUUGAUGUAAAUCUACUCAAAUCAUCGUUGAUUUCACAACUUUAUAAUUGUAUUUCGCCUAUAAACUUUGUUUUCAAAGUUAUCUCAAAUCCCUUUUACCUAAA
RNA transcript from Vitis riparia (riverbank grape), 2179 nucleotides. It is a transcript of the gene named monodehydroascorbate reductase, chloroplastic/mitochondrial, with no coding region annotated. The record is from RefSeq and is a predicted model, not a curated record. Lineage: Eukaryota; Viridiplantae; Streptophyta; Magnoliopsida; Vitales; Vitaceae. The transcript has 18 exons.